GCACGCAGAGCUGUGUUGAAGGACAUACUUUUCAGGUUCCUGACAGUCACUGAGCUAUACGCAAUAAUAAAGUGCGUGAUUCGCGUGUGGAAACCAGUGUCGUGUCCUUACCAGCUUCCUUUUCUGUCCACCUUCCCUCUCUCUUCUACCUCCGUUUCGCUUUUCUUCAGUGCAUGUUAGCGGUUUGCUGGAUUUCCCUUCUCCCUCGCUGUUCAACUGCUAGCAUGAUUUGUUACAUUUUCCACAGCUGUUUAUUCUUGUUUGACUUUUUGUACAAAGUCACUUUAAAUCUGCUGCAGAAAGAAUAAAGCACCUAGCCCUUUGGAUGGACUCCUGCAGGCGUGUGGCUGUCCCUGGCCCACUUUUAAUUCUUUGGAGAUGGCUCUUCUGUGUAAAUCAGCUGCUGGGUGCGUUCGGUCACCUCGUAGGCCAGCCUAGUUUGUAUCAGCAGAACAGUAGUGGACUCGACUCAGGUCGUAAGCCUUAUAUUUCACAGACAAUUAAAUCUUGGCUGCUGUUGAACAAAACUGUAAUAUUUACUUUGUUCUAUACCGAGAAGCACUUUUAAAGUAAAAAAGAAAAAAAAACCAAAUACUACACUUCAAAAAGAAAAUAUGACAAUGAAUCUCUUUUUAUGGAUUCUCUCUGCAUAAGUGGAAACAAUAUGAUUUAAAUCCCCAACACCCCAUCCCCCUUUUCAGACACAGCUGAAGUGAUACAGAUACUGUCUUCUAACACAUAAUCUCCCUCUCUCGGGAGAGGCACCUGCCUGUGCUACAUUCGAUUUAGUUUGUAAGGUUUCAGGCCCCUCCCCGACCCAUGUAAUAUGUAACAAGGAUUAUCAAAUAAUAAGGUCUUGGAUGUGAAGUCUGCUUUACACAAGAAUUCAAGAAAGAUAGGCAGGACUUGAGUAAUUAUGUUACAACUUCAUAUUACUUUCCAAAUGAAUACCCAUUUUCUUCUCAUGUCAACUUCUAGAGAUGGGAUGCUGAGGCAGAGAAAUAUUUUUAUGAGACUCUGGAGUACAUACUAAAAUGUGCUUCCUUAUUAUUUAAGAAUGUGUAAGGUAUGGACCUACAUUUGUUUGCUGGUGGUCAUAAAAUAAAUUCAUAGCCAUUGUGGCCAAUAAGCAAUCUCCUUCACGCUUUAAAAGUUUUUGGUUUAUAAUCCCACCUGGAUUGUAUUUUCACUAUUCUGUAUCACCCUCCUAUUGCAAUAUUUUGGUUCUCAAUCUUAUGUAAAGCAAACCUCAGAAAUGAUCGUUUCCAUAAAAUUGUGCAAUGGCAAAGCCACAGAAUAAUAUUUUGAGUCCAUAUAGCCGUGCAUGCUCAUCUAUAUAGCUCUUAUACAGUUUUCUAGCUGAUUGCUUUGGUAUUUCAAGAAAUAGGAAGCAGUAGCUACCUAUUUUAAUGAAAGGGUACCAUUUCAUAAGAAUUCUAUUUUCACUGAAAAAAUUGGUCUGGCACAUUAUUCAAUGCAAAAGAUUAUAAUAUUACUUUCACGUGUGUUAAUCUGUUUAGUAUAAAACUGCUAGGGUGUCUUAACCAUUAACGCGUUUUGCCACACUACUUUCAAAUGGUGAUCUGAGAUAAUUACGAAGAUUUUGAUGUUAAUCCCACGUUAAAUGAACAACUAUGAAAAUAAUCUUAAAGCAUUAUUACUCCCAUAUACAUGCCAGCAAACCCAAUUGUGGAGAGAACAUGAUUACUUUUUAUCUGACAUUAUCCUAUAAGGAUAUGGCUACAUUUAUUUCUUUUAAAAUUGGAGCAGUUUUCAAUUACUUUUUAACAGAAUUGUUUUCAACACAGCAUUUUGCAGUGCCCAUAAACCAUAGCAACUUUGUCCUGAUCGAUACAUAUUUUUCUGCAUUAUUAUUCAUUAGCCUCUUUGCAAACUCACUAAAAUAGAAUAGUAUUAAAGUAUGAAUAUAUAGAGAACAAUUAUUAGGUUCUACAUAUUUAUUUAGGUAAACCAAUGUUAUUAAAAUUAAAAACAUGUGCCUGGCAUAUAAGUGCUUCUUCAGGAAUUCUUUUUUGGAUGCAUAGUUAUUAUUUUUUAAACAAACUCAGAUUUUCAAACACUGAUUUUCUUCUCUGAACGGGCAUUGCAUUGUUUUAAACAGUAGCUCCUGGAAUAAUGCCACCUUUAGUAUUUUAGACUUUCAAACAACAAUUGGAAUUGGAUAAAUGCUUUCAGCUGGGAGCACUUUCCUAAUACCUUUGUAGGUAAUGGGAUUCUCUAUUUGUGCUGGGUGACAAACGGACAGUGCCCUGGACAGACUGCCUACCCUCUGCAGAAUCUACCAAAAAGUAGAGUUUUCCCAUGAGACUGCUUGUGGUCCAUCUAAAAAUGAAAAAAUAAUCAGAGAAAAUGCGCAAAGCCUUUUCUAACUACAGUUAUGAAAUGAUGGCUUAAAGAGGUAUUUAGAAAAUAAGAGUGGAGUAAUACAGAAACAAAAUCUGAAGAAGAAAGUUUGCUUAGGAGCUGAUGCUCUUUGUCUACAAACAAGAGGGUAAGGAGCUGGAUCCAAUUGAAUUGAAUUGUUUUUGUUUGCUUGUUUGUUUUCUUCCAUUCAGUGCCUUUCAAACUGUUUUUUACUGGAUGAAGAAACUCAACCAAGAAAAUAUAUGUCGAUUCUUGUAUAUGGGACAAUAUUAGCUGCUGUGAUUUUUAAUACUAGCAUAAAAUAUAAGAAUCUUUUUAUUACUGUGAUAUUGUUUUUUCCUAAAUGAAUGCAUAGUGUAACAAUUGGUGUCAAAAAGCAUUGAAUUUUUUUCAGAUGGAUUAAGCUGGAAUAAUAAAGUAUAUCUAUGAGAUGAUUUCUGUAAACUCUGACUUGCUGAGAAAAAAGUGAAAAAGCUUUUUCUGGAAGAAACAUGGCAACUUAACCGUUAUUAAUCUGGACUAAAUAAAACAGGAAACUGCUUCUUUACAUUUCUAGUAAUUUUUUCUGCUUUUCCAAACAUUGUUAAGUUCUAUGCAACUUGUGCUAUUCAAGUAAAGAUGAUGUCAGUAAUAAAAUUACAGAAUCUA
RNAcentral lists this unclassified non-coding RNA (3033 nucleotides) under Homo sapiens (human). Its description in RNAcentral is "partial DEIN noncoding RNA transcript A". Lineage: Eukaryota; Metazoa; Chordata; Mammalia; Primates; Hominidae. The record is from RNAcentral.